This 7296-nucleotide long non-coding RNA is filed under the name Lactuca sativa (garden lettuce). RNAcentral describes it as "long non-coding RNA (LSAT_LNC008528)". The record is from RNAcentral. Lineage: Eukaryota; Viridiplantae; Streptophyta; Magnoliopsida; Asterales; Asteraceae.
UUUCAGUCAAAACCCUAAUGGACAGCUUAAACUCUAAGCAGCCCAUGGAACCUUCUGGAUAAGGCCAUGGACGAAAAUAUAAUGGGCUUCCAUCAUAAUUUCGUUCACUCCUUGAUCCUUUAGCAUUCCUUAGCCCAAUAACUCAAUUAUCCAAUAAUUGCAGUCCAGUCCCCUGAAUUUAAUUAAUCUCUUUUAGCCACAAAAUUAAUUAUCAAUUAAUUCUUGACUAAUAUUAAUUAAACAAUAUGAUUUCUCCUUUAAUAUAUUAUUCUCAUAAUAUAUUAAUAAAUCAUAUUUAAACCUUUCUCUCCUUAAAUCAUCCUACAUAUUGCUAUGGUGAAGGCAACCCAAAAGGACCAUGCUCAUAAUCGGGUCAAGUACAUACCAAAAUAGUUAUGGACUUAGACACUAAUCCAACAGUCUCCCACUUGGAUAAGUCUAAUAACUAUUUUCCGUAUGACUUCAAAACCUGAUCAGCAAUCGUAGCUUUCAAAAGCCGCUGUCAACUCUGAUCUUAUCAGAUAGCGUGUCCUCUAGAUAAGGGAUUAUAUAUUCCUCCAUUCUCAAGAUAUCGUAUAGACAAAAGACAUGAAUUUCAAUCAUUCUCUCUAUACUUUUUCCCGACUUCCGAUUCAUGACGACUGAUAACAGACUACAAUUGAACACAUCAACUUAGUCCCGGCUUGGCCAAGCGCUUAGAUGUCAUCACUAAAUCAUCGAGAGGCCCACAUAUAUCGCUUUUAUCCCACUUUGGGUAAAAGGAAUGGAUAAACUUCGACUCAAAUGCUCGCUUGCAUUUACUGAUCGAAUCACACACAACAAUAAGUUUUAUAACACCAAGUUACUGGUGCGUUUACUUAUUAUCAAUGUGUAACUGACCAACAAAUAACAACUCACACGUCUCGGUUUCAAGAAUAUACAAUAUUAUCGUCUCACUAAUCACUCGUGAUAAAACCGUGAAGUGAUCCAAGUGAGCGUGGGUUUAAUCCAAUACUUUAAUCUUAUCAAAGCACUCACGAACUCUGCAGCAAACUUGUGCCAUGUCUAAACACUUCAGACAAUCUACAGACAGAUUCAUGACAGUCUUUAUUCAUACCUACUCCCAACGUAUGACCAACUGUGGAUGUUUGAAUAACCUAGUUAUUCUGGAAGUCAAAACAUGCAAAUUGAAACAUGACAACAAUACUUAAUCCUAUAUGGCCCCAAACUUGUGAGAGUAAAUAAAACCCUUCUAUUUAUCCACCAUAUUGAUUACUCAUUAUUUAUCAUUUAAUGUUUCGGAUAAUCAACUCAUUACUUGAAUUAUACCAACAAUUGUCCCAUGCUCUAAACAUGCACACUUUGUUUCCUAUGGUCCAUGCUUUGUGAAAUAGAUCACCUGAAAACUUUUCCAAUGAUGCUCAUUUCACAAUUCCUUAAUCCUAAUUAUUAGUGUAGGAACACAAGGUUCUUGCCACUACUAGAAUAUGCUAGAUUCUAACAUUUUACGCAACGAUCCUUUCGUAAAGUCAUAGCACAAAAAUCACCAAGACUUGGCUAAUGAAAUUACAAAGUGCUUUCUUAGAAAUUGUUACAAGACAAUUCCAUAGAUGUGAAGUCUCACAUUCAAAGUACAUUCCUUUGAACAUCCUUCUUGCAUAAAAGUUUCUAAUCUAGGCAUAGACUCUCAAUAUCCAACUCCCAAUAUGGAAACAUUUCCACAUUUGCCAUAUGACAACUCAUUCUUAAUAGAAUCUUAUCUAUUCGUAAUAAUGUCGAUAUGGUCCAUCCAAUACCAUACUUUCAACUACUUACAAGCGAUCAAUCCUCAGCGAACUUUGGAUCAUCCUUUGAUAGUUGUUAAAUUCUUUCAGUCAAAACCAAUUCUAUUCCUUUUUCCCUCUUAAUGCGCUAGACAUUUGGAAAAUUUUAGAAUGGUAAAAUACUAUAGCAUUUACAAUCGAUCCUAUACCCGAAGCGUAUGGGACACGAUGCAUAAUGUCUUACAUAAAGAUAUGAUACUUUACCAAUCUUUUGCCAUAAUAUUUUAUGUGUCAUGUUCUCACAAUUCGAACUAUGAAGAGGGAUGCCGUAAUCAUAAUCGAAAUUUGAGAACACACAAUGUAUCCUUUGACUGAAGAUAUUAAAAUUUCUCAAUCUAAGCUUUAGAUUUUGAAACGAAGUAUAAUAUUCUCUCCCUUAAUUAUAGCAAAACAACUUUUCAACCCAUGCAACUUUGCAAAUUGAAUCUUUGUUUUUCUAUAAUUAAUAUUGCUAACUUGCAAUACUCGCCAUAAUAAUCAUACAAGCAUAACACUUAUGCUCCCACUAUCAUGAUGAUUAUUAUCAUAUAAGCAUAACACUUAUGCUCCCACUAGCUUUGACAUGUAUUCAGAAAACAAAUGAACUUUCAGAAAACAAUGCCUAUUGAAUUUCUGAAAUUCAUAUUUCUAAUACCAGAUGCUUCGAUAAGCCUUUAUCUAGGCUUCUUAACCUUAUACACCUUUGUCUUAGAUAGCUCAUAUGUGUGUUUAAACAAUUCAGAACUUAUGUUACUAAGUUCCAAAUGUUGAAACUAAUUGCCAAAUCUCACAAUUCGAACUAUGGAAAGGGAUGCCGUAACCAUAAUCGAAUUUGAGAAUACAAUUUUCACAAUUGCUAUCUUCUUAAAAUCUCUCUUAGUGAAAGCAUUUCCUCACAGUCAUUUUCAUGAAGGAGGGAAUCUUAUGACACUUAGAUUUUAUGGUGUAUGAGUUCCUAUCCAUGUGAAUUUGCCAAAACCAAAGUUUGUGACAAAUUCAACCUCAUAUGGACUGAACUUUCUUAAUCUUGAUUUCUUUCCUUAUGGUAACACGAGUGCCCACCAUGUCUUCCAAGUAGUUUAGUAAUUUGUCCUUACAUAUGAAUGUACUUUCCAUCGACUAAGGCUCUAGUAUGCAUUUAAAUGAGAACUCAUAGAACUCACAUACGCAAUUAACUCAAUUGGAAUGGCACAAAAACAAAAUAAUGUCAGCACGAUAGGUUGUAAACCUCAAGUCGUGUGCUAGUGAUGAUCGAUAAGGUAUAUUCUUGAUUUGUUCUUGAAACCUUUCAAGACCAUUAAGACUCCCACUGACUCCUUGACAUAUAAGAUUCUCUUGUCAAGAAACAUUUCUUGACAAAGCAAAUAUUCAAGAGUUAGUGUAGUUCUUAUCAAGACAAAACACUUCACAUAAUUGGUCCUAGUUGGUCUUUGUCUUAUCCAAGACAGCACAACUUACCAAUUUCAAAUGUGCAAGAAUAAGAAAACUUUUCCAAAUUCCACAUUUGAUGAGUGUUAUAAACCUACUUAAGACUUUUCACUCAAUGUCACAAUCUUGACUCUAAGACUUGAUAUUGGAACGAAGUAUGAUUGACUUAUUGAUUUAACCAUUUCUACAAUUCUCGAUUCCUCUUCUUAGACAUGCAAAUGCACUAAGACUCACUUAGAGGAUCAAUUGAGAUAUGGUUCUUAAUCAUUAAGACUUCAUCAUAAAACACAAUAAAAGGUACUCUCCCUUCUUCUUAGAAUGGAGAAACUUUUAUCUUUCUGCCUUCUUGAUUCUUCUUAUUCGUUCUGCUAUUGAUUGAAACUAUUUCAGUUAACUCAGAAUUAUACUCAAUCUUAUAAGUAUAACCAUAUUUACUAAACUUUAGUAAAUCAUGACGAAUAUCUUUGUCACUCUUGUGGUAGACUUGAUCAACGUACGACCUAGUGUACUCGAUCUCCUAGUCCUUCAAUUGACACUUUGCCAAAGAAUUAGUCUAAGUUUCCCAAAUGUGAAAGUUUUUCAUUCAUCAUACAAUACACAUUGCAUGAUUCCAAGUUUCUGUCCAAUUGAAACUUGGGCGAUGAGAAACUCUCCCUAUUUGGUAAACUUUUGACAUUUCCACAAAUAACAUAAUUAAGAAUCAAAUCCAUUAUUGCUAAUAAUAGAAACAUUCAAACAUCAAUUUUUCAUACAUGCCAUUGCAAGGAUAAAUAAAUAAGAUAAAAUCAAAAUUCAUUUUAUUGCGGAAAAAAUUUGUCCUUACAAUGCAAUUCAAUUGAAAAACUAUGUUAUUACAUAUUUCUUAACAAUCUAUUCUAACUCCAAGUAGUAGCUCAAGAAUCCAUUCUUCAAGUAAUGCGAUCGAAAUCCAUUUCUUCAUGAUUAGAUUCAGCUCACUUCUUCCCUCAAGCUUCCUCUCUUUUCUUCGAUCCUACAAAACAUCAAAAUGUAAUCUUAUCACAUCAUGUAUUAAGAAUCUAGAAUAGGAACUCAAAAGAGUUAGAUAAUGGAUUUUACCUGAAGCAGAGCCAUACGUCUUGACUCUCCCAUCUCUUAGAUCUCUCAGGUAGUUAGGGCAGCUUCGUCUCCAAUGCCCCUUCUCUUGGCAAUAAAAGCAAAUGGACUCCUUUGGCACAGCACAUCGGACAAUCACAGACUUAGUUCUUUCUGGACUUCCAAUGUUGCCAGUGUCCAUUGAAGUUUGGGAGUUUGAUUCACCAGACAAAUUUGCUUGACCAGCACGCCAAAUCAUUGCUGAUUCAGCAGCUAUAAGCAAAUAGGUGAGAUCAAUUAGGGUCACGUCGUGGUCCAUCAUAUAGUACUCUCUAACGAACUCACUAUAUGAUUCAGGAAGUGACUGAAGAACCCAGUCAACAGCCAACUCACUUGAAAUCUCGACACCCAACAUGCUUAACCUAUCAAUGUGUGACUUCAUCUCUAAGACGUGUGCACACACAGGUUUCCCAUCUUCGUGUUUACUUGCCAAAAGGGCUUGAGUGAGCUUGAACUUUUCAAGCCUUUGAACUUGUGGGUCAGGGAGAACAAUUGGAGGAGGUGGAGGAAGUGAAGCAUGACUCUCAUUUCCUUGAUCGUAUCUCGGAACGUCAUCUUCAUUUGGAAAGCUUGUUCCAAAGGAUUUGGGAAGACCAUUGUAAGAUUCAGACAUCUACAAAACGGGAGAAAAUUCAAGUUAUGUUGAUUAGAAUUCUUGAUGUAACACCCAAAUGAAACAUCAAGCUAGGAUCCAACACAAUAUUCUACAACCUAGAAAAGGGAUGCCGUAAUCUAGUUGCAAAAUAUUUGAAGGUAGGUAAAUGACGAUUUACCAAUUUCCACCAUGAAAAACGAAAAGGAAGAUUAAGUUUUAAAUGAAUUGAAACUCCUAGAUCUUUUGAGAUUCAUUGAACUUUUCAAUGGCAUGUUUAAUCUCGAUUAUGCCCUACUAUUUGUGACUGGGAUGCCGAGGAUCACAAACAAGGUGUGAAUAACCAUACGAAUCACGUGGUGCACCCAAUGCUACAAUCACCUAAUCAAUGUGCCGGUUAGCCACACACGCUCCAUUGAUCUAUGACAAACAUCGAGUCACCCUUCGCUACCAAUGUCAUCCCCAAAUUAGUGUGCCGGUUAACCACACACGCUCCACUAACGUUUGACAGGGGUACGAAGUGUAAUUCUAUGGAUUAGCAUACAAUUUCACAUUUUUCCUAAAGUAACUAUGAUUUGGGAAUUUGAAAAAGCAUUUAGUUACUUUGUACUUCAUUAUACUUAUAAUGGAAGGUUUCUGUCCUAUCCUACCCGUUCGGCUAACGACCCUCCACUAGUCAAGAGUGCGGUGGGUAAGAGUGGAUACCCAUUCAAUCGCCAUUUUAUAGGCAAUUUCCUUAAACACCCCUUAUAGACCAGCUUCGUGAAUGAGGCCUACUAACGGUAAGACUGACUGUUUACUCAUACAUAUAUAAUAUUAGACUUUUAAUGUCAUAUAUAGUAUAGGGUGUAUUUUACACUUUUAAAAUACUAGGUGGUUUAAUUUAGUAAAUUAUACUUUUAAUUUAAUUAAAUGUAAACCAAAACUUUAUGGGUUUAUUAAAUCACUUUUAAUUAUACACUUUAAUUAAUUAAUAAAACCAUAAGGGUGUGAUUUGAACUUUUCAAAUUACUAGGGUUUUAGAAUUUAACAUUUCAAAAUUAAACUUUUAAUCAACUUUUAAAUUCCAAAACUUGAGGGCAAGUUUUGAAACAUUUCAAAACAUUAGGGUUUAAAUAACAAAUAAUUCAAAUUAAACAAUUAAUUUCAUAAUUAUCUACAUUUGACCUAAUCUUAUUUUAGUCAUUAGAUAAUUACCAAAUAACUUUAAAUAAUCCAUAUUUAUCACAUAAACAACCAAUAUUUAAAAGAUUUGAAAUUAUCUAUUGUUUUGGCAAGGAUAAACAUAUAAUUAAGAUAAAAUUCGGAUUUUAACUUCAUAAAACAAUUUAAGCAUCAAAUCCAAGUCAAAACAGCAGCUAAAUCCCGAAAUACCCUCUGCCUGACGCACUGACUCGCCGAGUCAGACCUGGACUCGCCGAGUUGGGCCAACUCGCCGAGUCCAGAUACUGACUCGCCGAGUUGAGUCGGGCAGAGGCAAAAAACUCGUUUUUCAGUAAAUAAUUCAACAUAGCAUCACAUACAACAGAAACCAAUCAAGGCUCUGAUACCACUGAUGGGUUUUAGGCAUAAGAACAAUCCUAUGUGCUCAUACAAACCCUAAUGCUUGGAUCUAGGUUUCUCUAUUGUACAUGCUUUGAAUCCAAGACUAAUAAACUUAGAUCUAACAUAUUAUAAACUGAAUUAGGGUUUAUAGAAUUACCUUUGAUUGUUAUAUAGCAAUAACAAUCAAUUCCUUGCUUGGAUUGGCCUUAGAAAGCUUAGUGCCUCAAGUGCUGCACCUCUAAUGGAGUCACAAACACCAUAUACAACUUGGAUGAAGAGGAGAAGAAGGGAGGCUGCCGAAAAACGACUAGAAACCCUAGAGAAUCAGUUGUCCACGUUUUUGGAGCCUAAGGGGUCCUUUAUAUACUUGUGUGGGCUGCUAGGGUUUCAGUCAAAACCCUAAUGGACAGCUUAAACUCUAAGCAGCCCAUGGAACCUUCUGGAUAAGGCCAUGGACGAAAAUAUGAUGGGCUUCCAUCAUAAUUUCGUUCACCCCUUGAUCCUUUAGCAUUCCUUAGCCCAAUAACUCAAUUAUCCAAUAAUUGCAGUCCAGUCCCCUGAAUUUAAUUAAUCUCUUUUAGCCACAAAAUUAAUUAUCAAUUAAUUCUUGACUAAUAUUAAUUAAACAAUAUGAUUUCUCCUUUAAUAUAUUAUUCUCAUAAUAUAUUAAUAAAUCAUAUUUAAACCUUUUUCUCCUUAAAUCAUCCUACAUAUUGCUAUGGUGAAGGCAACCCAAAAGGACCAUGCUCAUAAUCGGGUCAAGUACAUACCAAAAUAGUUAUGGACUUAGACACUAAUCCAACAAAAAACUAUGCUUCUAUUAUUCCAUGUUUAAAC